CUCUGUGGGAGAGAGGAGAGAAGUGUUCCAAACUUGGACCCGAGGUUUCCAGUUCUCGCUAGGAAAUUUCGUCGCCCUGGCGGGGUUCGUCUUGAUAAAUGGUCAGCUCUCAGCGGGCUCCCUUGUCCGGUUCAGCAACUUUCACUUUUCAAAAAAAAACACAAAAGUAAACAUUCGCUUGGUGAACUUUCACUCACCCACCCACCCCCAACUGUCUUUUGCGUGUCGCUUCCAGCCGUGGACUUGGGUAGGGGACGGAGGAGUCUAGGUUUGAUAUUUCGUGACUACAGGACGCCCGGGGGAUGUGAGGCGGACGGAGGGGCCUGGCAUGCGGCAGCUGUUCCGGCAAGGCUCCGGCCUUCCCCGCCACUUCGCCCCGAGAAAACUUUAAUGACGGCCUCGUCUCGACUCGGCAAGCCACAGUCUUUCUUAUAUAGAUAGGAGCAGACUUUUCGGCUCCUUAAAACCACGUCUUGUGCAUACUUCCUAGGCAUUUCAGACGCUGAGGGCAACGGAAGGCGGUCGGAAAGUUAUGUAGACCAGCGCCUUAAAGAGUCAAGGCAGUUUUUAGAGACGUUCCUAGUCUUCGAGGCAAGAAAUCUAUAGGUUUCCGAUGAUGGCGGAUAAAUGGAGAGAAAAGUGAUGGGAGGGCACGUGUACAGAAAGAUCGGGAGCCGUUGAGACGAAUGUGAGGAAGACUACCUUGAUGAAGAGAAUCUACCGCAAUAAGACAUAUUAAAAUGCCAUCAUUAAUGGAGCGUGAGGCUCAUAUAGCACAAGGUGUGUGAUCACUUGCUAAACCACUUUGCUCGUAUAUGAUUAUUCAUAAAAGAUGAAAACUUAUACCGGUGAUUCAGAUCAUGAUUGUCAUGUCGACAUUGGUUGUUGUAAUCUGUUGCAGUAGCUAGUGUCAACGACCUAAGUCUAUGUUGUUAAAGGAUCGAUGUCAAAAGAACAUCUACAGUCAGAACUGUUCAAGACGACCGCUCAGAAGACUGGUCUAUGUGGACAGGUGGUCACUAUAGACAGGAUUUGUAAUGUAUGUCUCAAAGGGAAAAUUAUCUAAGGAACCGCCAAAAAGUGGCCACAUUCUUCAGGUGGUCCUUUAGGUAAUGCAAGGACGUUAUAUUGGGUAAUGGUAGACA
This is a long non-coding RNA of Branchiostoma floridae (Florida lancelet), 1145 nucleotides long. RefSeq lists it as uncharacterized. The transcript has 3 exons. NCBI's taxonomy places the organism in Eukaryota, Metazoa, Chordata, Leptocardii, Amphioxiformes, Branchiostomatidae. The record is from RefSeq and is a predicted model, not a curated record.